UUUAAAUAAUUGGUGCAGUGUUAUUUUUAUUUUUUAUUUAAAGUCUUCCUGUUAAAGUGAAUCCUUCCUCUCCUCUCCACUGUCACCAGAUUGAUAUUCAGUACAAAUCAUUGCUUUAGCUUAACUUUUAACUAAUUUAGAUCAUUGGUCUAGUGUUGACCUUAUUUUGGAAAAUCUUCCUGUUAAAGGGAAGUUUUUCCGUUUUUGUUACCACGUGGGUCAUCAGUAGGAGACAUUGCUUAAGCUUAUUUAUAAUGAAUUUACGUAAUUGGUGCAGUGUUAAUGUUUUGGAAAUCUUUCUGUUAAAGGGAAGUUUUUCACUACAUGUAUCCUCAACAUGAGACAUUGCUUAAGCUUUCAUAAUUUUUAACUUAUGUUUGAUAACCGGUUUUUAUUUUUUGGAAAGUCUUCAUGUUAAAGGGAAGUUUUUCCUUUCUACUGUCACUACAUGCAUGUUCAUUAUGAGGUGUUGCCUAAGCUUACUGUAACGUAAUAAAUUUAAAUUGGUGAAGUGUUGACCUUAUUUUGGAAAGUCUUCCUGUUAAAGGGAAGUUUUUCCUAAACACUGUCACAGCAUACAUCUUUAGUAUGAGUCUCAGCUUCAGCUUACAUAACUUUUAAUCAUUGUAUGAUAACUGCAGUUUUUUUUUGGUACAACUUCCUGUUAAAAGGAAAUGUUUCUUUUUGGGAAGUCUUUCUGUAAAGGGGAAUUUUUGUCUCAUCACUGUCACCACAUGCAUCCUCAGUGUCUGUGGUGGUGGAUGAUAGUUUUAGCUCAUGGUUGAGAAUUUAAGGCCUGGUCAUCACCACAUGGUAUAUGGACUGGGAAGACAUAGAAGCCAAUCAACAAAUUUUGUUGAGAUGGAAAGACAACUCUGAAGACACCAGAUGACUUUGGACUGUGAAAGAUGGGAGUGGGAAUCCAACGGCAAGAAAUGUGGUAUGGUACUUCCAGUAGCCACUCCUUAAGGCUAUGAUAUCAUAGGAAGAGUUCAAGGAAUUUGGUAUCAAAUGAGGACAACUACGGGAUUGAUUCAUUCCAUGCACGAUGCUCCACACAAGAAAAGCACGGUAGGCUAUUUGAAGGGUAGCUCUGACCUUGGUUUCAAAAGGGUAAAGGUAUGAAAGCGAGCCCGACUGAAGGGUAAGGGCUUGGUUGGGUUUGUGUGAAACUAAUUUGACUCACGGGUAAAGGGUUAGCGUUGCCCUUUGGUCAGGUUUGUGUGAAAAAGAACCCGACCGACGGGUAAAGGGUUAGUGUUGCCCUUCGGUAGGGUUUGUGUGAAAAAGAAUCCGACCGACAGGUAAAGGUGUGAAAACUAACCAAACUUGGAUCCUUCAGUCAAAUAUGUGUAUGGAAUCCAUUGUAAAAUUUACUAAGAAGGUACCAAUAUAAAUAACAUUUCAGUGACGACCAAAACUGACGAGACCAACGACUCAAGUGACCCAGCCACUCCUUGACUGCUCCCAACAAUGACCGACGAAAAAGGCCUUCAUCGCCCCCACCGCUGAUGGAUGACCUCAGUGACCCUGCCACCGGGCUCAGAAGUUUUCAAGAAAUGCUGCAGGAAUCCUCUUGGAUCAUCUUGUUUCUGUCUAUGAUUUCGCCCUUCAUCGCCCCCAUCGACUGACAAAGGAAAAUGGCUGAACUUAAAACAUUUACCAAAACUUUUUUUCUUUCAACCAAAAACUGGGUCUGGUACUUUGGCAGCCUUUUUAUUUAAUUUUUUUUUCUUUGGACAAUUUUGUUUAGAGACUUCAUAAUUAAUUUUAUUUGCUCUGUUUAUUUUAGAUAUUUAAAAUGUCUUCCAAUUUCAGUGUUAAAUGUUAGAACAAAUGUUUGUUGAUUUUUGAGAAUGUUUGCAUCAUUUGGCGUUACCAUGGUUAUGGCAUUGAUUAUGAAAGGCUUAUACUGUUUUAUUGUGAUCUGUCUGUGUUUAUGCUGCUGUUUGUCAUUUUAUUUCAACUGUUUUUGUUUUCUGUUUUUCUCUCCACAGUUUCAACACCUGGCCUGGCGUUCUGAUUGGCUGCGGUUGCUUCCUGGAGGAGGACAUUGGCUGACAUGAUGCUGCCACCACCCAACCGUUCUCCCUCUCUGUUUCACUUCCACGAACAUGGAAAGUUCUCCUGAUCGUUGACCUGUUGUUGUGUCUCUGCUCUGUCUUCUCUCAGCUCCAGUCGGUCCUGGCAGACGGCUGCUGGUACUGAGCCCGGUUCUGGUUCUGCUGGAGGUUUCUUCCUGGUAGAGGGGAGUUCUUCUUCUCUACUGUCGCUACAUGCACGCUCUGUAUGAGGGACUGCUGUAGAGUCCACAACUCAACACAAGCGAUUUGCUGUCGCCCCCUGCUGGUCAGAUGGAGUGAAUGCUGUAAAUGAUGACUCCAUACAAUCUGCUGGGUUUUAUUUGGUACAAACUUUUUAAACUACUUUAAUAAUUAACUGAGAUCAUUGUACUAGCAAUUGGAGUACAUGUGAUUGAACUAAAUUUAUUUCAAAGUGCAUUGAGACGACAUUUGUUGUGAAUUGGCAAUAUAUAAAAUUAAACUUUCAAACUAACAAAUGGGCCCCACCAAUAAACAAUAAAAAAACCCCACAACAAACAAUACAAGAAAGUUCAAAACCCCAAAAGUAGAUACCAAAACAUUCAAAACCCCCAAAAGUAGAUUUCAAAACCCCAAAAGUAGACAUCAAAAGCUUAUAAUUAUAAUGUUAAUUCACAACAGUGUCGUUGUCGAGGCAUUUUACGAAAAGUCAUUUCAAUUUAGUGAAAUUACGAUUGAUAAAAGUUUUCAGUUUCUUAGGUUCAGUUAAUUAAAAAGCAGUUUAAAAAGUUUGUACCAAAUAAAACCCAGCAGAUUGUAUGGAGUCAUCAUUUACAGCAUUCACUCCAUCUGACCAGCAGGGGGCGACAGCAAAUCGCUUGGGUUGAGUUGUGGACUCUACAGCAAUCCCUCAUACAGAGCAUGCAUGUAGCGACAGUAGAGAAGAAGAACUCCCCUCUACCAGGAAGAAACCUCCAGCAGAACCAGAACCGGGCUCAGUACCAGCAGCCGUCUGCCAGGACCGACUGGAGCUGAGAGAAGACAGAGCAGAGACACAACAACAGGUCAACGAUCAGGAGAACUUUCCAUGUUCGUGGAAGUGAAACGGAGAGGGAGAACGGUUGGGUGGUGGCAGCAUCAUGUCAGCCAAUGUCCUCCUCCAGGAAGCAACCGCAGCCAAUCAGAAUGCCAGGCGUCGAAACUGUGGAGAGAAAAAUUACAGAAAACCAAAAGUUAGUUUUUAACUAAAGACCUGUUUGAAAUCAAUCGAAUAUUUAUUAGUAGAAUAAGCUAGCAGCACUUACAGAAAAAUGCUGCUAUAACUGUCUGUGUGCUAGAAGUGAGCAGAGGUGGAAUAAUUUGUUUCAGGUUGUAAAUAUUUAUUUUGAAUCAUGUCAAAGAGAAUUCGGCUGUUAAUUAAUGGAGAUGCUCGUUGUUGCUCUCAUGUCUUGUUUAACAAUCGUCCUCA
Xiphophorus couchianus (Monterrey platyfish) is the source of this 3510-nucleotide long non-coding RNA. RefSeq lists it as uncharacterized. Lineage: Eukaryota; Metazoa; Chordata; Actinopteri; Cyprinodontiformes; Poeciliidae. The transcript is spliced from 2 exons. The record is from RefSeq and is a predicted model, not a curated record.